GAUGGACGAUGGCGGCGUGCCUAAUACAUGCAAGUCGAGCGAACGGACGAGAAGCUUGCUUCUCUGAUGUUAGCGGCGGACGGGUGAGUAACACGUGGAUAACCUACCUAUAAGACUGGGAUAACUUCGGGAAACCGGAGCUAAUACCGGAUGAUAUUUUGAACCGCAUGGUUCAAAAGUGAAAGACGGUCUUGCUGUCACUUAUAGAUGGAUCCGCGCUGCAUUAGCUAGUUGGUAAGGUAACGGCUUACCAAGGCAACGAUGCAUAGCCGACCUGAGAGGGUGAUCGGCCACACUGGAACUGAGACACGGUCCAGACUCCUACGGGAGGCAGCAGUAGGGAAUCUUCCGCAAUGGGCGAAAGCCUGACGGAGCAACGCCGCGUGAGUGAUGAAGGUCUUCGGAUCGUAAAACUCUGUUAUUAGGGAAGAACAUAUGUGUAAGUAACUGUGCACAUCUUGACGGUACCUAAUCAGAAAGCCACGGCUAACUACGUG
Molecule: ribosomal RNA, 497 nt
Filed under: uncultured bacterium
Lineage: Bacteria
Description: partial 16S ribosomal RNA
Rfam family: Bacterial small subunit ribosomal RNA
Source: RNAcentral